This 428-nucleotide ribosomal RNA is filed under the name uncultured bacterium. RNAcentral's name for it is "bacterial SSU rRNA". It matches the Rfam family "Bacterial small subunit ribosomal RNA", at positions 355 to 775 of the family's 1533-position model. The record is from RNAcentral.
UGGGGAAUCUUGCGCAAUGGGCGACAGCCUGACGCAGCAACGCCGCGUGGGGGAAGACGGCCUUCGGGUUGUAAACCCCUUUCAGGAGGGACGAAGCUUCGGCAGCGAAUAGCUGUCCGGAGUGACGGUACCUCACUAAGAAGCCCCGGCUAACUACGUGCCAGCAGCCGCGGUAAUACGUAGGGGGCUAGCGUUGUCCGGAAUCAUUGGGCGUAAAGAGCGCGUAGGCGGCCAGACAAGUCCGGUGUGAAAGUCACAGGCUCAACCUGUGAAUGCCGCUGGAAACUGUCUGGCUAGAGUCCGGAAGGGGCGAGUGGAAUUCCUGGUGUAGCGGUGAAAUGCGCAGAUAUCAGGAGGAACACCUAUGGCGAAGGCAGCUCGCUGGGACGGUACUGACGCUGAGGCGCGAAAGCGUGGGGAGCGAACAG